AUCCUCAGUUCCCACCGCUGGGGCUGGCGGCGACCAACUACCUGUCGCAGCCAGAGAGCUGUCAUUUCAGUACCGGGAUUCAGAAUUGAUCCAGUCCGCAGCGGAGGGGGCACAUCCCAGCUACCGAGCUGCUGAGUAAGUCCCACUUUAUCAUUAAUGAUGACAAUAACUAAGGCUGCCAGGAACAGCACAUCUGCUGAGCUUUAUCAACACCAGAUUCUCUCAUUUUGCCUUCUGGAUCUCCAUGCUUUUUUAUACCAACAAACAAGAGGAAGAAUAUUCUCUACCCACUUCCUUGACUGAAGCCUGCUCUUUUAUGAAGACAUGGCAUCUCUUCCAACCGUGUCAAACAGAUGCAAUUUAUAUGUCUGCUGCUUCCAUACCCUGAUUAAAUGGGUCAGUGGCAGAAUCAGUAUCCUUAGUCUCCCCUUUGGUUUCAAAUAUGUACUCCUUAUUUCAGUUUCAUGCUCACCUUUCUGUAGAGACCAAGGCAUCUGCCUUUGCAGCUUUACCUCUUCCUCCAGGUUAUAGUUUCCAUUCAUGGAAUCUUUUAGCUGCUGGCUGGCAGUUUUCCUGUCUACCUGACUUCCAUUCCUCUUCUCAUGACUUCAGCUCCCAUGCAGAUGUCUUAUCCUGACAUACUAGCUUCUCCAUUCUAUUUCUGUGUGUGUGUGUCUGUGUGU
This 683-nucleotide long non-coding RNA is filed under the name Homo sapiens (human). RNAcentral's name for it is "ADGRB3 divergent transcript". The record is from RNAcentral. Lineage: Eukaryota; Metazoa; Chordata; Mammalia; Primates; Hominidae.